AGCAGCCGCGGUAAUUCCAGCUCCAAUAGCGUAUAUUAAAGUUGUUGCAGUUAAAAGCUCGUAGUUGAAUUUCGGGAUUAGUGCGCCGGUCGUGCCUUCGGUAUGUACUGGUGUUACUGGUUCCUACCUUCUGACGAACCGUCAUGUCAUUAAUUUGGUGUGGCGGGGAAUCAGGACUGUUACUUUGAAAAACUAGAGUGUUUAAAGCAGGCUCGCGCUUGAAUACAUUAGCAUGGAAUAAUGAAAUAGGACGUUAAUCCUAUUUUGUUGGUUUCUAGGAUCGACGUAAUGAUUAAUAGGGAUAGUUGGGGGCAUUAGUAUUCAAUUGUCAGAGGUGAAAUUCUUGGAUUUAUUGAAGACUAACUACUGCGAAAGCAUUUGCCAAGGAUGUUUUCAUUAAUCAAGAACGAAAGUUAGGGAUCGAAGACGAUCAGAUACGUCGUAGUCUUAACCAUAAACUAUGCGACUAGGGAUCGGAUGA
This 481-nucleotide ribosomal RNA is filed under the name uncultured Glomus. Its description in RNAcentral is "SSU rRNA". It matches the Rfam family "Eukaryotic small subunit ribosomal RNA", at positions 569 to 1060 of the family's 1831-position model. Lineage: Eukaryota; Fungi; Glomeromycota; Glomeromycetes; Glomerales; Glomeraceae. The record is from RNAcentral.